CGCAGGCGGAGAGGGAGAGCUUCGGCCCCGCAAACCACCGGGUGAUCGGGGGUCUCGGGAGGCGUGGGGGCGGUCCCACAAUGGGCACCGCGGCUUUUCCCCGGCUGGCUGUUCAUGCGGGCUGCGCCUUCCUGCCUCCUGACGCCGAGGUCGUAAGGUCCUGCCCAAGCACAGUCUCGGGACCCUCGCCUAUGGUAAAGAGUACCGGGAAAACUAGGGGUUUGGGGUACUUGGACAUUUGCAAAAGCCGAAGAAAUCCAGGCGGCCCCUGCGACCCUGAUUUCCACCCGGGAGGAAGGACACCAGGAAGCGCGGAGCGCGAGAUGGGGCGCCCUCCGGCGGCUCUGUUAGGUCGCCGGGCUUCUCCGCUUUCCUCCUGCACAAUGGAAGGGUUCAGUCCGGCUUGAUCUCUGCGACAGGAAUUCCAGGUGUGAGGCACCGCAACAGGUAACCUGAAAGAGGCCUUGCUGGUGACAUUACUGACCAAAUGGAAAAAGAUACUUCUAAGCUCCUUGAACGGCUCAGCCAGGGCGAUUUCUGUUCCCAGCUAACAUCAAGUGUCCUUUGGAAAUAAUAAAGGAACUUGGUAACAAGAAGAGAGCAAGUGUAUUUGCAUAGGAUUGCCAUAUAGAGCAAUGAAAUAGAACUGAGAAUCCAGAAAUAAACUCUCACAGUCAAUUGAAUUACGAGAGUGAGGAAACAAUUCAAUGAGGAAAGAACAGACUUUUCAACAAAUUGAUAUCCACAUGCAAAAGAAUGAACUUGGACCUAUAAUUAACUCAAAUGGAUCAAAGACCUAAAUGACUCUUCCUGUGGCUUGUUGCUUGGGAGCAGCUCUGCCCAGUGACCGUUUACACUCUUCCCACCCUCCAGUGCUGCCUGUGGAUAGCCCUUCUCUGAACUGAGCUGCUGAACGUUCCAGACUGCUUCUGGGAGAAAUGUGCUGUGAAGAGUGGAGAAAGAGUAGGACAAACCACAUUUGAAGUAUAGCUGUCAAAGGCCAUCAAUCCAUUCCCCAGGCGUGCCUCUGGUGUGGGACUUGCUGGCUGCUUCACGUGAGCAUCUGCCUCAUGGACUGGAGUUCCUUCAGGUCAGAGUCUGUGUCCUUUCAUUUCCAUGUCCUCAGGCGCCAGCUUCCAGGCUCAAGGCCUGGGUAUUCGAGGCACGUAGUAGAUGAUCAACAAAUGAUUUGCAAACAAAAUGUUGGUUGAGUUUCUAGAAGGGGAUGCAG
Non-coding RNA from Kogia breviceps (pygmy sperm whale), 1231 nucleotides. NCBI's taxonomy places the organism in Eukaryota, Metazoa, Chordata, Mammalia, Artiodactyla, Physeteridae. The record is from RefSeq and is a predicted model, not a curated record.